This 329-nucleotide unclassified non-coding RNA is filed under the name soil metagenome. RNAcentral's name for it is "partial contains 5.8S ribosomal RNA, internal transcribed spacer 2, and large subunit ribosomal RNA". The stretch from base 1 to 120 matches the Rfam family "5.8S ribosomal RNA", at positions 35 to 154 of the family's 154-position model. The record is from RNAcentral.
GAUGAAGAACGUAGCGAAAUGCGAUAAGUAAUGUGAAUUGCAGAAUUCAGUGAAUCAUCGAAUCUUUGAACGCACAUUGCGCCCUCUGGUAUUCCGGGGGGCAUGCCUGUCCGAGCGUCAUUACAACCCUCAAGCUCAGCUUGGUGUUGGGCCCCGCCGCCCCGGCGGGCCCUAAAGUCAGUGGCGGUGCCGUCCGGCUCCGAGCGUAGUAAUUCUUCUCGCUCUGGAGGUCCGGUCGUGUGCUCGCCAGCAACCCCCAAUUUUUUUCAGGUUGACCUCGGAUCAGGUAGGGAUACCCGCUGAACUUAAGCAUAUCAAUAAGCGGAGGA